This is a long non-coding RNA of Anguilla anguilla (European eel), 3382 nucleotides long. RefSeq lists it as uncharacterized. The record is from RefSeq and is a predicted model, not a curated record. The transcript has 3 exons. Lineage: Eukaryota; Metazoa; Chordata; Actinopteri; Anguilliformes; Anguillidae.
ACGUACAGCAGCCGUACACCUGUCUCUACGCGAUUUAUGAAUCGCGCACAGUUUCAGCUCAACAGCAAGAAGCGUUUGAGGCCGUGAUUAUUCACAGCAAGGCGCGCAUUAAUUAAACGGUCCCAAUCUGUAUGCUAAUUUUCUCGUCACUAGCAUGCAUCUAUCUCGUGCUCACAGCCUUUCCGCGUGUGCUGGAAUGGAGAGGCAUAGACUUGCUAUAAGAAAUGCUAUAAGAUGCUAUAAGAAAGCUGCACGACGGAUGAAGCAGUAAGACGCGGUUAUAAUAGGCUUGCAAAUGGCUGCGUCACAGAUCCUCGGAUGCACUAGAAACGUGACAGAGUAGCAGUUGAGCCUGCAGUGCCUCCUGAGAUGGAUGAGUUUUUCAAAACUGGCCCCACCAUCUUCUGCUGCGCCACACCCCCAGACGUCUGGGGCUGCACCACACCCCCAGACGAUGGGAACCUCUCCAGGUACUACACACACAGUGCCGACUUCUGUUACCAUUGAGCGAUCUGCCAAAUUGUGCAGAGUUAAAUAUAUUUUAAAGUUCUUGAACUAGACUCACGCACAUAUAAAACUGGCCACUUGUUAAUGCUAUGUCCAUCCCACAAAGUUUCACUGACAUUAGUGGCAGUCUUUCAGAGUUCAGCGCUGUCAGUGUCUGCUCCCGCCCACAGGUAAACUGUGGAACACUCGCAGGGCUCAGGUCAGGUGACUCUGGGCAGCACUGUGCUGGUCUGUGGUGCAGGUAAACUGUGGAACACUCGCAGGGCUCAGGUCAGGUGACUCUGGGCAGCACUGUGCUGGUCUGUGGUGCAGGUAAACUGUGGAACACUCGCAGGGCUCAGGUCAGGUGACUCUGGGCAGCACUGUGCUGGUCUGUGGUGCAGGUAAACUGUGGAACACUCGCAGGGCUCAGGUCAGGUGACUCUGGGCAGCACUGUGCUGGUCUGUGGUGCAGGUAAACUGUGGAACACUCACAGGGCUCAGGUCAGGUGACUCUGGGCAGCACUGUGCUGGUCUGUGGUGCAGGUAAACUGUGGAACACUCGCAGGGCUCAGGUCAGGUGACUCUGGGCAGCACUGUGCUGGUCUGUGGUGCAGGUAAACUGUGGAACACUCACAGGGCUCAGGUCAGGUGACUCUGGGCAGCACUGUGCUGGUCUGUGGUGCAGGUAAACUGCGGAACUGCCGCAGGGCGCCGGCCAUUCCACCUGCAUCAUUAGCUGCCAGUAUGGAACUGCUGCCAGGUCUGUUAACAGGCCUCAUUGUUGUGGCGCAUAUCAGCAGACCCAGGGCAGAUAAGUUUGUUCCUCCCAUGUUCAGAACAACCCACCAAUCAUUAAAAUCCUGCAUAAGUCACUAGCUGGAAUAUAUUUUAUUUAAAAAGGCACUGUGUUGAUAACAGGAGUGCCAAGGAUGGCUUGUGGUUGGCACCGUCUCUAGCAGUCCUGUUUUAUUUCCCUAAAAAGAGCAAUAUUUUUGAGAAUCCUAUCAGCUACAGAUUGCUCACCUCCCCGUCACACAUAGCUGCACCCUUCAACUAAACACUGCAGCACCGAAAGAUUAAUUCUGUAUCUCACUGUUUUCCCGCAUAUCAGAAUUUUCAGGAAGUGAACAGCGAGUAAGAGUGGUUAAGUCUUUAAUCCUCUUAUAGCACUUUCCUCUACAUGCUGCUUCACUGGAAGCGGUGAACAUAUUGAAAAAGUCGUCACCUCAUUUUAUUCUUUUCAUGCACAUUAUGUGCGACGUUGCCACACACUGUCAUUUUGUUUAAUAGUUUUACAAUGUUUUAUAUUUUCCUUGGCCUUAUUUAACUAUAACAACAUCCCUUCCUCUGAAUUUCAUCACAGGACCAAUUGGGCUGGUCUGCUUGCUGGUUGCUAAGGCGAUGGGUGCAUCACAGGUGGUGAUAAGUGGACCAAUUGGGCUGGUCUGCUUGCUGGUUGCUAAGGCGAUGGGUGCAUCACAGGUGGUGAUAAGUGGUGAGGAAGGGAAAUCUGAUGGGUGUCUGCCAUAUUCAUUGUGAUAUCAGUUGUCUCGCAAUUGUGCGAUAACAGUGGAAGACAUUUUGCUACAUUGUCUGCCAAUAACAACAUCUAAUCAAAGUAGUCUGAACAAAGUUGUUCAGUAGCAUUGCUCAGGGUUAGGGGGUGUUCAGUAGCAUUGCCCAGGGUUAGGGAGUGUUCAGUAGCAUUGCUCAGGGUUAGGGGGUGUUCAGUAGCAUUGCCCAGGGUUAGGGGGUAUUCAGUAGCAUUGCUCAGGGUUAGGGGGUGUUCAGUAGCAUUGCACAGGGUUAAAGAGUGUUCAGUUGGGAUCUCACCCCUCUAAUGACCCCCACUAGUUGAUCAGGUGCCCACUGUGUGCUUGCUAAAGCUACCCAUUCGGCUUCUUCCUCCACUCAUGUAUGUGGUGUGAAAAGAAGUGGCUGGUCACAUGCUUCAGAGGGGAACGUGUGCUUAUCUACACUGUCCUGUGCAGCAAGAGCACAGCUGUGUAUGAUUGGACUUUCCAAAUUGGGGGAAAAAAUGGGGAAGUUUUGUGCUUUGUUUGGAUGACUGUUACGUCUCUCAAGGUGUCUAGGGGUAGGAGGGAGUACGUAACGUAUAUAGCAAAGUAAAGUGUCCGGGUGAAAAGGUGUUCAGCACGUUUAGGGUAAAUAAUCAGGUCAGGCAAGGUUGCAGGUGAUAUUAAAGGUGUUAUUAUUAUAAGAGUGCAAGUGAAGUGAUAUAUACAUGUGUUACAAGUUUACACAAAACAAAGACACAACUAGGUCACAAGGCCAAGGGACAUGGAUGUAGCCAAAGAAAUGAAAUAAACAAAACCAAACAGCGCUAGAACAAAUGAUAAUCUGACUAGCUAUGCAAAACAAAAGACUGUCUAUCUAACUACUCUUACAAACCAAAAUACACAGUUGGCAACCACCCCUUUUCUAAUGUGUCCAUACAAGUUUCCUCCUGAGUGUAGGCCUCUCUCGUACCUGCCCCAGGGCCUGAACCACACGCAGACAACCACACAUACACAAGCAGGGGAAACGUUUACACGCACAACACAGGUCUCUAAAUCUCUACCACACAUACACAACCACACAGCAAAAACAAACAGAGAUCAAAUGACAGAGAGAGGAGCAGCAGCAGCAGCCACGCAGCUUUUAUCUUCCAGAGGAGGGAUGUGAUUGGUGGAGGCGGGACCAGGUUAACGAUGAUUGACAGCGGAGACAGCGAAUGGGAUGAUGAUUGGCUCUCCUGCAGCCUUACAGAGGGGAAAAAAAAAAAACACACACGACGUGGAACGUAACAAUGACCCACCAAUUAGCACAGUUUAAAUUAAAGCUUUGCACCUAUUGAAAUGUACAAUUCAUUCUGCUAAUGCUCCACAACAAA